RNAcentral lists this ribosomal RNA (254 nucleotides) under Acinetobacter baumannii. Its description in RNAcentral is "partial 23S ribosomal RNA". It matches the Rfam family "Bacterial large subunit ribosomal RNA", at positions 2695 to 2925 of the family's 2925-position model. Lineage: Bacteria; Pseudomonadati; Pseudomonadota; Gammaproteobacteria; Moraxellales; Moraxellaceae. The record is from RNAcentral.
GAGUGGACGAACCUCUGGUGUACCGGUUGUGACGCCAGUCGCAUCGCCGGGUAGCUAUGUUCGGAAGGGAUAACCGCUGAAAGCAUCUAAGCGGGAAGCCUACCUCAAGAUAAGAUUUCCCUAGGACUUUAUGUCCUCUAAAGAGCCGUUCGAGACUAGGACGUUGAUAGGUUGGAUGUGGAAGCAUAGUGAUAUGUGAAGCUGACCAAUACUAAUUGCUCGUGAGGCUUGACUAUACAACACCCAAGCAGUUG